This 1007-nucleotide ribosomal RNA is filed under the name Bacillus velezensis. Its description in RNAcentral is "bacterial SSU rRNA". It matches the Rfam family "Bacterial small subunit ribosomal RNA", at positions 34 to 993 of the family's 1533-position model. The record is from RNAcentral. Lineage: Bacteria; Bacillati; Bacillota; Bacilli; Caryophanales; Bacillaceae.
UGUUUGGGGGGGUGGCCUAAUACAUGCAAGGUCGAGCGGACAGAUGGGAGCUUGCUCCCUGAUGUUAGCGUGUCGGACGGGUGAGUAACACGUGGGUAACCUGCCUGUAAGUACUGGGAUAACUCCGGGAAACCGGGGCUAAUACCGGAUGGUUGUCUGAACCGCAUGGUUCAGACAUAAAAGGCGGCUUCGGCUACCACUUACAGAUGGACCCGCGGCGCAUUAGCUAGUUGGUGAGGUAACGGCUCACCAAGGCGACGAUGCGUAGCCGACCUGAGAGGGUGAUCGGCCACACUGGGACUGAGACACGGCCCAGACUCCUACGGGAGGCAGCAGUAGGGAAUCUUCCGCAAUGGACGAAAGUCUGACGGAGCAACGCCGCGUGAGUGAUGAAGGUUUUCGGAUCGUAAAGCUCUGUUGUUAGGGAAGAACAAGUGCCGUUCAAAUAGGGCGGCACCUUGACGGUACCUAACCAGAAAGCCACGGCUAACUACGUGCCAGCAGCCGCGGUAAUACGUAGGUGGCAAGCGUUGUCCUUGUUAUUAUUGGGCGUAAAGGGCUCGCAGGCGGUUUCUUAAGUCUGAUGUGAAAGCCCCCGGCUCAACCGGGGAGGGUCAUUGGAAACUGGGGGAACUUGAGUGCAGAAGAGGAGAGUGGAAUUCCACGUGUAGCGGUGAAAUGCGUAGAGAUGUGGAGGAACACCAGUGGCGAAGGCGACUCUCUGGGUCUGUAACUGACGCUGAGGAGCGAAAGCGUGGGGAGCCGAACAAGGAUUAGAUACCCUGGGUAGUCCACGCCGGUAAACGAUGAGUGCUAAAGUGUUACGGGGGUUUUCCCGCCCCUUUAGUGCUGCAGCUAACGCAUUAAAGCACUCCCGGCCUUGGGGGAGUACGGUCGGCAGGACUGAAACUCAAACGAAUUGGAACGGCGUCCGCACAAGCGGUGAUAGCAUGUGAUUUUAAGUUCCGAGCACGCGAGAACUGAACCAGGUCUUUUGACAUUCGAUC